Molecule: ribosomal RNA, 497 nt
Filed under: uncultured bacterium
Lineage: Bacteria
Description: partial 16S ribosomal RNA
Rfam family: Bacterial small subunit ribosomal RNA
Source: RNAcentral
GACGAACGCUGGCGGCGUGCCUAAUACAUGCAAGUUGAGCGAUGAAGCUUGGUGCUUGCACCAAUUUGAAGAGCAGCGAACGGGUGAGUAACGCGUGGGGAAUCUGCCUUUGAGCGGGGGACAACAUUUGGAAACGAAUGCUAAUACCGCAUAACAACUUUAAACAUAAGUUUUAAGUUUGAAAGAUGCAAUUGCAUCACUCAAAGAUGAUCCCGCGUUGCAUUAGCUAGUUGGUGAGGUAAAGGCUCACCAAGGCGAUGAUACAUAGCCGACCUGAGAGGGUGAUCGGCCACAUUGGGACUGAGACACGGCCCAAACUCCUACGGGAGGCAGCAGUAGGGAAUCUUCGGCAAUGGACGAAAGUCUGACCGAGCAACGCCGCGUGAGUGAAGAAGGUUUUCGGAUCGUAAAACUCUGUUGGUAGAGAAGAACGUUGGUGAGAGUGGAAAGCUCAUCAAGUGACGGUAACUACCCAGAAAGGGACGGCUAACUACGUG